UAAAAAUGAAGGAUUUUUGAGGAAGAUAACAUUGCAGACAAGUCAGGAGGACAUCACUGACUUCUGGGACCAGUUGAUGAGCAUCAAUUCCCAUCUCAAAGAGAUGUCAAUUAGGGCUUCUGCUUUGGAGUUCAUCUUUCAUCUACCACAGAUGAUUAUCUAAACCCUCUCAAAAGUUUUGCUCAGUGCUGUUUCUUCUGUAAAAGCCCCAGGCAAAAUUCUUAUCCUGGACUCAUGCAGUGGUUCUUGUCUCCAAUCUUCUGCUCUGCCUUCAUGCCGAGGGAAUCUUCCUUUGACUGGAAGUCAUAUGGCCCAGGAUGUGCUUUGUGGGUUUUUUUCCAUUGUUGCUUUUUCUGUGUACAUCCUUAAACAGUUUUCUGGCUGACCUACAUGCCUGUUGGCUGACAUCAGCUGGGAGAGUUGAACUGUCUUGAGAAUACCCUCAUCAUUAGGACCAAGAUGUUCAAAUGGCACAAAAGCCAAAUAAAUUUUGGACACUCUUAUUCAGAUUGACAAAGCUAUAUGAACAAAUUAAAAAUAACUAACUUGUGUCUUCACCAAAAAUUUGAAGAGAAUAUAAGAAUAAUUUAAAGUGUUGUUAGAAAAAUUUGCAUACAUAUGUAAUUGAGUUAUAUUAUCAUCAUGAUGUUAUAUUAUUCUCCAGUUAAAUCGCCUGAUUAUUCAUGUAAUAAUUUCAUUCCAUUAUAAUGCUGUAAAUGAGAAAGUGGUGACCCAAUAUGUCAUUUGCCAUUUUAAAUUCAGCUCAAGAAAAGGACUGAUGCUGACUAAGCAACAAGUUCAAACGUUCUGGAAAUCUGGAAAUAUUUCCAAUUUUCUGGGGUUGUAUAAGAUUUAUAGAAGUCUGUGAAUUUAAAAAGACCUAGUAAAUAAAUAAAUACAUACAUACACACAUAAAUGCAUAGUAAAUAAAUAAGAGAUUUGGAAAUCCAAUUCAAAGCAGUAGCUGGAAAGAACCAAGAACACAGCAGCAGUCACAAAGACUGGGGAGCUGGCUCAGCAUGAUGUCAGAGUUGGGGCAGCUCCAUUGACAUCACUGGGGUUAAACUAAUGUGAAAGGACAGUUUACGUCUGGGGUCUGGCCUCACAUGAAAAAUAGAUUUGCUCAAAGGCUUUACAUUUUUUCAAAAGAUGCGACGACUGGAGCCUGUCCCAGUACUGAUAUAUUUCAAUAGCUGUGCUAUGUAAAACUGCAUGCAGAUUACUGCGGGCAAUGUGCAUCUCAUAGCUUACCUUUUUAAAAGAGGUGAUAUAUUGGUAAUUUUAAGACAGAGGGUUUCUUAAAAAAAUGUUACUACCUAGUUUUUAUUUUCUUGAAGAUGAGUGUAUCAUAAUAAUCAUAAUCAGAUUAUUUUUCCUCCUCUGAUAAGAACUGUGUAAUUCUGCUCCUGAAGUUACAUUAUGCUGGAAAUGACUCCAUAUCAAGGCUGUGUUACUGAAAGGUUGCUUGGCCUCACCAAGAGGGCACAUAGAAAAACUAGCUUUCACUACAAAAAAAUAAUUCUCAAAAGAUACUACAAAGUAAUGUCCUCAAAAAUGUUUCCUAGAAUGACAAACAUAUUAUUUUCUCUUCCUGACAUACUACAAUUACAGAAAGAACUCCAUAUUUCUGACUAAGUGUGAGCUCCCGGUGCUAUCUGAGAUACCCCAAGACAGCUGAACAAGACCUCUCUCAAGAAUAGGAUACAGAGUCUAUAGGAGGUCUGUAUUGACCUGGAGCAGCACUUAGACACUAGGUGGCCCAUGUGAAUUCACUGUACUUAGGCAGAUGAAAGGAAUCCAAAUAUAAACACUUCUUCUAAUAGUAGAGCAUCAGAGAAUAGAAAAACUCACAGAACUGACUUAUUAGGUGGACAUCUCCAGCCCUGAAAUGAAGGCCAUAAUUUAUCCUAGCACUAGUACUUUAUUUUCAGGUAAAUUUGAAAAUAACUUGGGAGAAAUAAAACAGUUUUAACAUGACAAAGAUGGAAGUUGAAAGUCCUGGGAAAUUCCUUUGUUACAUCCAAAUCAGUUGGAUAUAAACAUAUCAAAUACAAUAAGUACUUGGGAACAAGUUUUAGAAACAAAUCAAUGGGAUACUAGCUAGAUAACUGAUGAUUCCAAGUUUGCCUUAGUUUUGUGUGACCUACUUUGUAGAUAUUUAGCUAACAAAGUACUGAGAAAUAUUGUAGAAGAUUAAUGACAGUAAUAAAGUUCUUGUACUUCAGGGUUUGCAAGAAACACUUCUUACUAUCUCCCAUUGGCCUCAGGAUUGCAUCCUGUCUUCUCUGAUUCAAAGCCAGUAAUGAUAACUCAUUCCUCUAGCAUGAUCCAUUUUUGUUACAGCAAUGCAAUUUAAUUGAGCUGGAAAGCAUCAGCCCUGGGAAAGCUGAAGCUGCUGCAGAUGCAGAAGCAUCUUGCUUCCUCAGAACUAUCAGUCACAAAACUCUUUGCUUUGCACUUGCAGCCCACAUACCAAUUAAAAUGUUCUCUAUAGGUAAACUAUGUCUUCUUGCCACUUAAAUAAAAUUGCAUGCAUCUAUGCAAUGCCUGCUCCAAACACACCAUUAAGCCCUGAAUAUUGGUGGGAUUGACUCAGGCCUAAGCUGGACUGCAGUUUUGAUGCCAUUUUACUUUAUGGGACACAUGCUUUGUUCCCUUCAUUUACUUUCUUCCUUUGAUAGUAAAUUAUCAUACUAAAAUUUUUGGGAAAUUGGGAAACCAAAAUUAAAUAAGUGCUAUUGUAUCAAAAUAGUGUUACUUCCUGUGGAAUUAAGGAAGUUCUUGAAUAUAGAGACAAAUUACAGAUACUGAGUUUGUUAAUUUAGCUAAACAGUCAAAUAUCUUUCUUUAACAUAUAACAUAAAAAUUAUCAUAACCCCUCACUACAAAAAUAGACAUUGAAGCCCUGGAGUAUGUCCAGAGAAGGGCAAUGAAGAAGUCUGAAGCACCAGUCUUGCUUUUCAAAUAUAAAGAAUUUCAAAGAGUGUUAAUGAAUUUUGCAGUGAUUGGCAUUGCUGGAAUUUUUUAUGUGUCCAAAUGUGAUUAUUUUAAUACUAUACAUCAAUAUUUUCUCUGUAGUGUAUUUACAUCAGUAUGUUUUGUCACAGGAUCAAUAUGCAAAUAAACUUUUUUGAAUAGC
Molecule: long non-coding RNA, 3139 nt
Organism: Gallus gallus (chicken)
Lineage: Eukaryota; Metazoa; Chordata; Aves; Galliformes; Phasianidae
Source: Ensembl